UUCUGUCCACAAGUUAGUGAAACAGUUGCAUUGCAUAGUUUUGUUCACUCCAACUUGCUGCUUCCUCCACAUGAUACAGGACCCUUCUCUAAGGAGGCCUCUGGAUCUUGGUAGAGAGGAGUCUGGUUUAUACAAGCUUGCAUGGGCUCCAGCUUCCUCUUCUUCCUCUACUGGUUCCUCUACUACUUGUUAAUCUUCUUUUGUAUACUCUAAAUCUGGCUCUUGUAAUCUUGACAAUUCUUCUUUUACUGGUUGCCAUAAAGAUGUUUCUUUACCUUCCAAUGUAAAUAGUCUGCUCUGUAAUAGCGUUUUUGCAACUGACAUGAAUUACAUCUGGCAUUUGAGACUUGCUCAUACUUCAUUUUCAAAUAUGAAAUACAUUUCUGGAUUAUCUUUUCCCUUAGCCUCUAAGCAGUCUUUCCCUUGUUCUAUAUGUCCUAUGGCUAAACAGACAAGACUUCCCUUUCCUGAUAGCACAAUAACCACUUCUAGACCUUUCCAACUGAUUCGUGUGUACACUUGGGGCCCCUAUCACACUCCUACUUCUUCUGGUUGUAGAUAUUUUCUUACAAUUAUUGAUGAUUUCUCUAAGGCUACCUCGACACAUUUACUGGGAUCUAAAAGCAAUGCCUUCUUCCUGCUUAAAUCAUUUCUGUGUAUGGUUAAAACUCAGUUUAAUGUUGUGGUUCAAAUUGUUAGAAGUGAUAAUGCUUUGGAACUAGGGUCUAGCAUUGAGGGUGUUUCUUUCUUUAGUAAUCAAGGGAUUAUUCACCAAACCACCUGUCCUCAUAGUCCCCAACAAAAUGGUGUUGUGGAAAGGAAACAUAGGACUCUUCUUGAAACAUGUAUAGUGUUACUUUUUCAAUCUGGCCUACCAAUCUCUUUCUGGGGGGACUGCUUACUAACGGCCACCUAUCUCCUUAAUAGACUACCAUCCAGACUCCUUAAUCAUAAAUGCUAACUAACUGCCACCUAUCUCCUUAAUAGACUACCAUCCAGACUCCUUGCUCAUAAAUCUCCCUUUGAAGUUUUACAUGGAAAGGCACCAGCCUACUCCCAUUUGAGAGCUUUUGGGUGCCUUGCCUAUGCUACUGUUCCAAUUCCUCAAAGGGACAAAUUGAAACCUAGAGCCUUUUCCUGUGUCUUCAUUGGGUAUUCUUUUGCCAAAAAAGGUUAUAAACUUUAUGACCUUACUUCAAAGAAAUACUUUGUUUCCAGGGAUGUUGUAUUUCAUGAAUCCUCUUUUCCAUUUAAGAAUGUUUCAUCUCCUGUUCCUUCCUCUUUUCCCUCAGUUCCUUCUCUUGAGCCUUCCUUCUCUGACACUGACUUGUUGAUACCUGUUUGUUCCUCUCCUCCUCCUCCUUCUGCCACCACUUCUUCUUCUUCUAAUCCAGCCUCCAUUCCUUCCUUCAAUCCUGAUACCUCUCCUCCUAAUUUUCCUUCUUCCACAUCUGCUCCUGCUCCCAGAAAGUCUGGAAGAUAGCAUAAUCCUCCAUCUUAUCUUAAGGACUAUGUCUGUCAACUUCCUGCCUUUUCUGGCUCCCCUUCUUCUUCUAAUCCAGCCGCCAUUACUUCCUUCAAUCCUGAUACCUCUCCUCCUAAUUUUCCUUCUUCCACAUCUGCUCCUGCUCCUAGAAAAUCUGGAAGACAGCAUAAUCCUCCAUCUUAUCUUAAGGACUAUGUCUGUCAACUUCCUN
Molecule: long non-coding RNA, 1697 nt
Filed under: Nicotiana benthamiana
Lineage: Eukaryota; Viridiplantae; Streptophyta; Magnoliopsida; Solanales; Solanaceae
Description: long non-coding RNA (NBEN_LNC006932)
Source: RNAcentral